Molecule: ribosomal RNA, 492 nt
Filed under: uncultured bacterium
Lineage: Bacteria
Description: partial 16S ribosomal RNA
Rfam family: Bacterial small subunit ribosomal RNA
Source: RNAcentral
AGUGAACGCUGGCGGUAGGCCUAACACAUGCAAGUCGAACGGCAGCACAGUAAGAGCUUGCUCUUACGGGUGGCGAGUGGCGGACGGGUGAGGAAUACAUCGGAAUCAACUUUUUCGUGGGGGAUAACGUAGGGAAACUUACGCUAAUACCGCAUACGACCUACGGGUGAAAGCAGGGGAUCUUCGGACCUUGCGCGAUUGAAUGAGCCGAUGUCGGAUUAGCUAGUUGGCGGGGUAAAGGCCCACCAAGGCGACGAUCCGUAGCUGGUCUGAGAGGAUGAUAGGCGGCCUGAGAGCGGGAACGGGCCCAAGGCCACUGCGGGAGGGCCCAGUGGGGAAUGGGGGACAGGGGGGGCGAACAUGACCCACCCAUCCGGCGGGUGAGAAAGAGGCGUCGGGUUUGUAAAGCCGUUUUUUGGGGAAAAAAAAGCAGCAGGUUAAUACCCAGCUGUUGUGGCGGUACCCAAAAAAUAAGCACCGGCUAACUUCGUG